UACAGAGACUGCAAGCGUUAUUCGGAUUCACUGGGCGUAAAGGGUGCGCAGGCGGCCAAGUGUGUUAGGCGUGAAAGCCUGGGGCUUAACCCCAGAAUUGCACCUAAAACUACAUGGCUAGAGCAUUGGAGAGGGUAGCGGAAUUCACGGUGUAGCAGUGAAAUGCGUAGAUAUCGUGAGGAACACCGGUGGCGAAGGCGGCUACCUGGACCGGUUCUGACGCUGAUGCGCGAAAGCGUGGGUAGCAAACAGG
RNAcentral lists this ribosomal RNA (253 nucleotides) under uncultured bacterium. RNAcentral's name for it is "partial 16S ribosomal RNA". It matches the Rfam family "Bacterial small subunit ribosomal RNA", at positions 524 to 776 of the family's 1533-position model. The record is from RNAcentral.